GACGAACGCUGGCGGCGUGCUUAACACAUGCAAGUCGAACGGAAAGGCCCUGCUUUUGUGGGGUGCUCGAGUGGCGAACGGGUGAGUAACACGUGAGUAACCUGCCCUUGACUUUGGGAUAACUUCAGGAAACUGGGGCUAAUACCGGAUAGGAGCUCCUGCUGCAUGGUGGGGGUUGGAAAGUUUCGGCGGUUGGGGAUGGACUCGCGGCUUAUCAGCUUGUUGGUGGGGUAGUGGCUUACCAAGGCUUUGACGGGUAGCCGGCCUGAGAGGGUGACCGGCCACAUUGGGACUGAGAUACGGCCCAGACUCCUACGGGAGGCAGCAGUGGGGAAUAUUGCACAAUGGGCGGAAGCCUGAUGCAGCAACGCCGCGUGCGGGAUGACGGCCUUCGUGUUGUAAACCGCUUUCGCCUGUGACGAAGCGUGAGUGACGGUAAUGGGUAGAGAAGCACCGGCUAACUACGUG
RNAcentral lists this ribosomal RNA (468 nucleotides) under uncultured bacterium. RNAcentral describes it as "partial 16S ribosomal RNA". It matches the Rfam family "Bacterial small subunit ribosomal RNA", at positions 28 to 507 of the family's 1533-position model. The record is from RNAcentral.